This 261-nucleotide ribosomal RNA is filed under the name uncultured bacterium. RNAcentral's name for it is "partial 16S ribosomal RNA". It matches the Rfam family "Bacterial small subunit ribosomal RNA", at positions 90 to 354 of the family's 1533-position model. The record is from RNAcentral.
UCGGACCGGGGUAGGAGGUAACGACGUGGAAACCGUAGCGUAUAUGGGAGGUAACACUUAGAAAUAGGUGCUAAUACCGCAUAAGCGCACAGCUUCGCAUGAAGUGGUGUGAAAAACUCUGGUGGUAUACGAUGGUUCCGCGUCUGAUUAGCUUGUUGGCGGGGUAAUGGCUCACCAAGGCGACGAUCAGUAGCCGGCCUGAGAGGGUGAACGGCCACAUUGGGACUGAGACACGGCCCAAACUCCUACGGGAGGCAGCAG